AAAGUCGUAACAAGGUUUCCGUAGGUGAACCUGCGGAAGGAUCAUUAACUUAUUGAAAUGGGUGCCCCACCUUGCCGCCGCUCGAGGGUUUCGGCUUGGCUGCGCUUGACGCAGUGUUCUGUGGCGUCCCUCCAUUCUUGUCUUCCACGUCCUUGUUGCUUUGGCGGGUGUUCUUGACCGAACCGCCGGGGGCCUGUCCCCUAGUGUAUGCCCGUCAGUAGCCCAUCAAAAUUCUGAUCAACGUGUCUGUCUUAGUCUAGAAGAAUAACUAUAAAACUUUCAACAACGGAUCUCUUGGUUCUG
This 303-nucleotide unclassified non-coding RNA is filed under the name Ascomycota sp. RNAcentral describes it as "partial contains small subunit ribosomal RNA, internal transcribed spacer 1, and 5.8S ribosomal RNA". The stretch from base 1 to 47 matches the Rfam family "Eukaryotic small subunit ribosomal RNA", at positions 1785 to 1831 of the family's 1831-position model. The record is from RNAcentral. Lineage: Eukaryota; Fungi; Ascomycota.